This 315-nucleotide ribosomal RNA is filed under the name uncultured eukaryote. Its description in RNAcentral is "partial 18S ribosomal RNA". It matches the Rfam family "Eukaryotic small subunit ribosomal RNA", at positions 1470 to 1796 of the family's 1831-position model. The record is from RNAcentral.
CCCUUAGACGUUCUGGGCCGCACGCGCGCUACACUGACCAGUGCAACAAGCAUCCGUCCUUGGCCGACAGGCUCGGGCAAUCUUUGAACGCUGGUCGUGAUGGGGAUAGACUUUUGCAAUUUUUGGUCUUCAACGAGGAAUUCCUAGUAAACGCAAGUCAUCAACUUGCAUUGAUUACGUCCCUGCCCUUUGUACACACCGCCCGUCGCACCUACCGAUUGAAUGGUCCGGUGAAGCCUCCGGAUUGGCGCGCACCUCGGUGCCGCCGAGAAGUUGGCUAAACCUUACCAUUGAGAGGAAGGUGAAGUCGUAACA